GACGAACGCUGGCGGCGUGCUUAACACAUGCAAGUCGUACGGUAAGGCCCUUUCGGGGGUACACGAGUGGCGAACGGGUGAGUAACACGUGAGUAACCUGCCCACAACUUUGGGAUAACGCUAGGAAACUGGUGCUAAUACUGGAUAUGUGCUCCUGCUGCAUGGUGGGGGUUGGAAAGCUCCGGCGGUUGUGGAUGGACUCGCGGCCUAUCAGCUUGUUGGUGGGGUAGUGGGCUACCAAGGCGGCGACGGGUAGCCGGCCUGAGAGGGUGACCGGCCACAUUGGGACUGAGAUACGGCCCAGACUCCUACGGGAGGCAGCAGUGGGGAAUAUUGCACAAUGGGCGCGAGCCUGAUGCAGCAACGCCGCGUGCGGGAUGACGGCCUUCGGGUUGUAAACCGCUUUCAGCAGGGACGAAGCUUUUUGUGACGAUACCUGCAGAAGAAGCACCGGCUAACUACGUG
RNAcentral lists this ribosomal RNA (465 nucleotides) under uncultured bacterium. RNAcentral describes it as "partial 16S ribosomal RNA". It matches the Rfam family "Bacterial small subunit ribosomal RNA", at positions 28 to 507 of the family's 1533-position model. The record is from RNAcentral.